Molecule: ribosomal RNA, 465 nt
Filed under: uncultured bacterium
Lineage: Bacteria
Description: bacterial SSU rRNA
Rfam family: Bacterial small subunit ribosomal RNA
Source: RNAcentral
CCUACGGGAGGCACCAGUGGGGAAUAUUGCACAAUGGGCGCAAGCCUGAUGCAGCCAUGCCGCGUGUAUGAAGAAGGCCUUCGGGUUGUAAAGUACUAUCAGCGGGGAGGAAGGCGAUAAGGUUAAUAACCUUGUCGAUUGACGUUACCCGCAGAAGAAGCACCGGCUAACUCCGUACCAGCAGCCGCGGUAAUACGGAGGGUGCAAGCGCUAAUCGGAAUCACUGGGCGUAAAGCGCACGCAGGCGGUCUGUCAAGUCGGAUGUGAAAUCCCCGGGCUCAACCUGGGAACUGCAUUCGAAACUGGCAGGCUAGAGCCUUGUAGAGGGGGGUAGAAUUCCAGGUGUAGCAGUGAAAUGCGUAGAGAUCUGGAGGAAUACCGGUGGCGAAGGCGGCCCCCUGGACAAAGACUGACGCUCAGGUGCGAAAGCGUGGGGAGCAAACAGGAUUAGAUACCCGCGUAGUC